Molecule: long non-coding RNA, 238 nt
Filed under: Exaiptasia diaphana
Lineage: Eukaryota; Metazoa; Cnidaria; Anthozoa; Actiniaria; Aiptasiidae
Description: uncharacterized LOC110245470
Source: RNAcentral
AUCAUCAUUAAGGUGAACAGUCACUUGAUUUGUUUGGCGGGGAAGAAAAGAGGUCUUAAGAUUUUUUCCAAUUGAAUCGGAGAACAUGCUUCGAGUACUAUUUCUUGCGAGUGUGACUUUCGCAGUUGCUUGGAGUUCAUUUACUUACAAACCGUGCCAAGUGAGCACUGACGCAAUGAGACCAUGUCUUGGAGGUGAUGCCAGCUUUUUGAAUUGCAUGAUGGAAGGAUGUUGCUAC